Nothoprocta perdicaria is the source of this 131-nucleotide small nucleolar RNA. Ensembl annotates it as small nucleolar RNA, H/ACA box 24. NCBI's taxonomy places the organism in Eukaryota, Metazoa, Chordata, Aves, Tinamiformes, Tinamidae. The record is from Ensembl.
CUCCAUGGUCUCAUGGGGGCUGCCGCUCGUGGCUGUUCCCCUUCCUAGACAUGGAAGAGCAGCGGCUUGCUAAUUGGCAAAGCUUGUACCGACCCGUUGGUAUCAGUUGUUGACUGUAGCAAGUAACACUC